RNAcentral lists this non-coding RNA (195 nucleotides) under bacterium YEK0313. The record is from RNAcentral.
CCUACCCUUGGUGGUGACGGUUCCCGCAAGGGACAAAAGGGAAUGCGGUGCGAGCGAAGAGCUCAAGGCCGCGGCUGCCCCCGCAACUGUAAGCGGAAAGUCCUCCACCACCAUGUCACUGGGCUUCGGCCUGGGAAGACGGCGGAGGGCGUCGAUCCGUGAGCCAGGAGACCUGCCGUCAGCCGUGGUCACGCG